Molecule: ribosomal RNA, 468 nt
Filed under: Centipeda noxia
Lineage: Bacteria; Bacillati; Bacillota; Negativicutes; Selenomonadales; Selenomonadaceae
Description: bacterial SSU rRNA
Rfam family: Bacterial small subunit ribosomal RNA
Source: RNAcentral
GACGAACGCUGGCGGCGUGCUUAACACAUGCAAGUCGAACGGAGCGAAUGAAAGCUUGCUUUUAUAAGCUUAGUGGCAAACGGGUGAGUAACACGUAGGCAACCUGCCGACAGGAUGGGGACAACAUUCCGAAAGGAAUGCUAAUACCGAAUGAAGUCGAGGGAGGGCAUCCUCCUCCGAUGAAAGAUGGCCUCUAUAUAUAAGCUAUCACCUGUCGAUGGGCCUGCGUCUGAUUAGCUGGUAGGUGAGGUAACGGCUCACCUAGGCGACGAUCAGUAGCCGGUCUGAGAGGAUGAACGGCCACAUUGGGACUGAGACACGGCCCAGACUCCUACGGGAGGCAGCAGUGGGGAAUCUUCCGCAAUGGGCGCAAGCCUGACGGAGCAACGCCGCGUGAGUGAAGAAGGUCUUCGGAUCGUAAAGCUCUGUUGAUGGGGACGAACGUGCCUAAUGCGAAUAGUAUUAGGU